Molecule: long non-coding RNA, 879 nt
Organism: Pectinophora gossypiella (pink bollworm)
Lineage: Eukaryota; Metazoa; Arthropoda; Insecta; Lepidoptera; Gelechiidae
Exons: 2
Source: RefSeq, a predicted model, not a curated record
CACGUUUUUUUUUUACACUUCCCACUUGGCUGUAUGGCAUACAGGUGUGUGCCUACGCGCCGGGAAAAAGUUAUGUUCGUUUGACAUUUCGUUUACGCGAUGACGAUGGCAAUUUAGUCCCGUCGCGAUUAUUUCUUUAAAGUGGUGUAUAAGCCACAUAUAUUAUGAUGAAAGGAUGGUGAAGUCUUCUGGUGAGUGUUUUGAUGGUUAUUAUCGUGGAACGUUGGCAAUUAUGAGCUUCAUAUGUUCAUGACAAUGACCUAACCUCACGUUCUUUCUUUCAGUAUAAAAACAAUGGUUUAGUCCAUCGACUAGGGGGAAUGCUGUUAUAAUAUCGUCCCACGUGAUGUGGGGUCAAAGUCCACCGGCAGAGUCCAGUGUCAAAGUUCAACUAGAAUGAAUAAAGUCUAACUUCAAAAAUCAACUUCAAGGUCUUCCUUCAGGGUUUGAUUCCCCAGCCAUGACUACCAUUGGUGUUCAUGAUCUGCUUUUGCCGUCAGGGACAGUUCCUGCUGCGGUCAUUAAUGUAAUUCCAGUUUGGGUGUUAAAAUCUCUGGAUACCAUCUGGAUAUCUCUUAUUCAGGGUUAAUUUAACCUAUUAUGGAUAGUGCCAUUCUCUCAAGGUGUUAUUCUACUAAUACAUGGAGUAUUUAUCCUCAAUACAUACUCCAUGCCUUUUGUCAGGACCUGCCGUCUUGAUACUUUACUUAUCCUCUUAGGGAUAAAACCUAGUUGUUUAGGAAUAAUACUAAGUUAAGAUACCAUGUUAGAGUAAAAGAUUUGUUUCUUAAUUUACUUUAGGAUGUUUUGUAACCAACUGACUUCAUAUUGUUUUAUAGUGAAAUUGUUGAACCAAUUAUACCAUUGUUAAAAGUGAAA